AGAGUUUGAUCCUGGCUCAGGACGAACGCUGGUGGCGUGCCUAAUACAUGCAAGUGGAACGCACUUAUUUCACCGGAGCUUGCUCCACCGAGAUAAGUGAGUCGCGAACGGGUGAGUAACGCGUAGGUAACCUGCCUCAUAGCGGGGGAUAACUAUUGGAAACGAUAGCUAAUACCGCAUAACAGUAUUUACCGCAUGGUAGAUGCUUGAAAGGAGCAAUUGCUUCACUAUGAGAUGGACCUGCGUUGUAUUAGCUAGUUGGUGGGGUAACGGCUCACCAAGGCAUCGAUACAUAGCCGACCUGAGAGGGUGAUCGGCCACACUGGGACUGAGACACGGCCCAGACUCCUACGGGAGGCAGCAGUAGGGAAUCUUCGGCAAUGGGGGGAACCCUGACCGAGCAACGCCGCGUGAGUGAAGAAGGUUUUCGGAUCGUAAAGCUCUGUUGUAAGAGAAGAACGUUGAUGUGAGUGGAAAGCACAUCAAGUGACGGUACCUUACCAGAAAGGGACGGCUAACUACGUGCCAGCAGCCGCGGUAAUACGUAGGUCCCGAGCGUUGUCCGGAUUUAUUGGGCGUAAAGCGAGCGCAGGCGGUUUGAUAAGUCUGAAGUAAAAGGCUGUGGCUUAACCAUAGUACGCUUUGGAAACUGUCAAACUUGAGUGCAGAAGGGGAGAGUGGAAUUCCAUGUGUAGCGGUGAAAUGCGUAGAUAUAUGGAGGAACACCGGUGGCGAAAGCGGCUCUCUGGUCUGUAACUGACGCUGAGGCUCGAAAGCGUGGGGAGCGAACAGGAUUAGAUACCCUGGUAGUCCACGCCGUAAACGAUGAGUGCUAGGUGUUGGGUCCUUUCCGGGACUCAGUGCCGCAGCU
Molecule: ribosomal RNA, 871 nt
Filed under: uncultured bacterium
Lineage: Bacteria
Description: bacterial SSU rRNA
Rfam family: Bacterial small subunit ribosomal RNA
Source: RNAcentral